AUCUUCUUAGUAUAAAUAAUAUAUUUGACUUCCAAUCAAAAGAUCUUUAAUUACAAAGAGAAGAUA
RNAcentral lists this transfer RNA (66 nucleotides) under Aethus nigritus. RNAcentral's name for it is "tRNA-Gly". The record is from RNAcentral. Lineage: Eukaryota; Metazoa; Arthropoda; Insecta; Hemiptera; Cydnidae.